UUACGAUAAAGGCAAAGUUCAGGGCAACCUGAACGGCGCAAAACCGAAGCUCCGGGAGUCACCGGAGGGCUGGGUUGCCGAA
This 82-nucleotide non-coding RNA is filed under the name Elusimicrobiota bacterium. RNAcentral's name for it is "Elusimicrobia bacterium c-di-GMP sequence". It matches the Rfam family "c-di-GMP-I riboswitch aptamer". From Rfam's summary of the family: GEMM was predicted in a large-scale screen for bacterial structured RNA regulatory elements. Genes associated with GEMM are involved in a diverse array of functions, including chemotaxis regulation, signal transduction, secretion and chitin. The record is from RNAcentral. Lineage: Bacteria; Pseudomonadati; Elusimicrobiota.